This 1055-nucleotide long non-coding RNA is filed under the name Homo sapiens (human). RNAcentral's name for it is "HSALNT0074954". Lineage: Eukaryota; Metazoa; Chordata; Mammalia; Primates; Hominidae. The record is from RNAcentral.
CAGGGCUUUGCCUGGGCAUGCCCACAGCAGACCGGGGGCCCACCUGCGUACCGGGAGAGUGGGGUGGAGCCACCGGGAAUUCACGCCUGAUGCCCGGGGAGGAGUCUGGCCUCUUCAGCUCCUGUGUGGUGGCCUGAUAUUCAGUCUGUGAGCUGGGAGCCUGUUGGCAGGUCCCUCUUUUUAUUUUCGCUGAGAGCUUUCUUUUACUAAAUGCCACCAUCCUUACCUUUCAAGGUGUCUGCGUGCCUAAUUUUUCCUGGUUGUUAGACAAGAACCCGGAUUUUAGUUGAACUCUGGAGCAAAAAUCCUGCAUCAUUUGUAGGUGGGUGUCAUUGUGACUGGCUGCUACCUCCCCAUGAGUCUUCUAAAAUAAAACCUGCAAAUUCACAUCUUCCCCAUGCUUCCAGAGAAUGCAUAUUCUUCCUUUGAAAAAAGAAAACCAGGUAGUCGUACAGUGUCCAGAAGGCAAAAGGACAAGUAUGCACUGCCCUACUUACCUACUUUCCACACUGCUGCACAGGAAAAUCUGACAGAGGACAAUAACAAACAUCUCACCAGCUCAUGCGUUCUUUUUUGAUCCUAAUUCCGAGAGACUCACCAAAGACAUGAAGAGAAAACAAACAAUACUUUUCUUGGAAAUAUUGUAAUUGCUGGUACAUUUGUUGUUCUGGCAUAAAGUAGAAAUUGUCAGGUAAACAUUGCUUCCUUUUGGAUCAAAAAGAAAUUUAACCAAAUAAAUGCAAGAGGUAUGAGGGAAGAUAAUGGGAAAUAAAUGAGAUUUGAGAAAUCAGUGGAGGUUCAAGUGGUUUUUUUUUUCUUUUGUAGUUGAUAAUACUCUGUUUUAAAUCAGUGAGUUUUACUUAUAUAUGCUUGUCCUUUUUUUUUUCUAGUUACCAGAACAAUACUCAGUGAACUUAUGAAUAUAUGGUAAAUAUUAAACACAUCCCACUUGGAUGAGAAGAUAUGUGAGUCGAUGAGUAUAGCUAAGUCUAAAGUUAGAUGUGUUCCAUAAACAUAGUGUUUAUGGAGUUGGUGCAUAUUCACUUCUCAGUAAG